Molecule: ribosomal RNA, 856 nt
Filed under: Escherichia coli
Lineage: Bacteria; Pseudomonadati; Pseudomonadota; Gammaproteobacteria; Enterobacterales; Enterobacteriaceae
Description: partial 23S ribosomal RNA
Rfam family: Bacterial large subunit ribosomal RNA
Source: RNAcentral
CCCCGUACACAAAAAUGCACAUACUGUGAGCUCGAUGAGUAGGGCGGGACACGUGGUAUCCUGUCUGAAUAUGGGGGGACCAUCCUCCAAGGCUAAAUACUCCUGACUGACCGAUAGUGAACCAGUACCGUGAGGGAAAGGCGAAAAGAACCCCGGCGAGGGGAGUGAAAAAGAACCUGAAACCGUGUACGUACAAGCAGUGGGAGCCUCUUUUAUGGGGUGACUGCGUACCUUUUGUAUAAUGGGUCAGCGACUUAUAUUCUGUAGCAAGGUUAACCGAAUAGGGGAGCCGAAGGGAAACCGAGUCUUAACUGGGCGUUAAGUUGCAGGGUAUAGACCCGAAACCCGGUGAUCUAGCCAUGGGCAGGUUGAAGGUUGGGUAACACUAACUGGAGGACCGAACCGACUAAUGUUGAAAAAUUAGCGGAUGACUUGUGGCUGGGGGUGAAAGGCCAAUCAAACCGGGAGAUAGCUGGUUCUCCCCGAAAGCUAUUUAGGUAGCGCCUCGUGAAUUCAUCUCCGGGGGUAGAGCACUGUUUCGGCAAGGGGGUCAUCCCGACUUACCAACCCGAUGCAAACUGCGAAUACCGGAGAAUGUUAUCACGGGAGACACACGGCGGGUGCUAACGUCCGUCGUGAAGAGGGAAACAACCCAGACCGCCAGCUAAGGUCCCAAAGUCAUGGUUAAGUGGGAAACGAUGUGGGAAGGCCCAGACAGCCAGGAUGUUGGCUUAGAAGCAGCCAUCAUUUAAAGAAAGCGUAAUAGCUCACUGGUCGAGUCGGCCUGCGCGGAAGAUGUAACGGGGCUAAACCAUGCACCGAAGCUGCGGCAGCGACGCUUAUGCGUUGUUGGGUA